RNAcentral lists this unclassified non-coding RNA (444 nucleotides) under Hevea brasiliensis (rubber tree). The record is from RNAcentral. Lineage: Eukaryota; Viridiplantae; Streptophyta; Magnoliopsida; Malpighiales; Euphorbiaceae.
UAUUCAGGUGUAUGAAGGUGAAAGAGCUAAAACCAAAGACAACAAUCUUCUUGGCAAAUUCGAGCUCACCGGAAUCCCACCUGCUCCAAGGGGCGUUCCUCAAAUUAAUGUGUGUUUCGACAUUGACGCCAACGGUAUUUUGAAUGUCUCUGCAGAGGAUAAGACCGCCGGAGUGAAGAACAAGAUCACAAUCACUAACGAUAAAGGACGGCUGAGCAAAGAAGAGAUUGAAAGGAUGGUGCAAGAAGCAGAGAAGUACAAAUCAGAGGAUGAAGAGGUGAAGAAGAAGGUGGAGGCUAAGAACUCCUUGGAGAACUACGCAUAUAACAUGAGAAAUACAGUGAAGGAUGACAAGUUCGCCGGAAAAUUGGCUCAGGCAGACAAGGAGAAAAUUGAGAAAGCAAUUGAUGAGACAAUUGAGUGGUUGGACAGGAACCAAUUAGC